GAAAUGCGAUAAGUAGUGUGAAUUGCAGAAUUCAGUGAAUCAUCGAAUCUUUGAACGCACAUUGCGCCCCUUGGUAUUCCAUGAGGCAUGCCUGUUCGAGCGUCAUUUGUACCCUCAAGCUCUGCUUGGUGUUGGGUGUUUGUCCCCGUCUCCGCGCGUGGACUCGCCCCAAAGUGAUUGGCAGCCGGCGUACUGGUCCCGGAGCGCAGCACAUGUCGCGCAAACGAGUGCCUUGGUACGGCGGCGUCCAUAAGCCCCUCUCUCACGCUCUUGACCUCGGAUCAGGUAGGGAUACCCGCUGAACUUAAGC
RNAcentral lists this unclassified non-coding RNA (310 nucleotides) under plant metagenome. RNAcentral's name for it is "partial contains 5.8S ribosomal RNA, internal transcribed spacer 2, and large subunit ribosomal RNA". The stretch from base 1 to 105 matches the Rfam family "5.8S ribosomal RNA", at positions 50 to 154 of the family's 154-position model. The record is from RNAcentral.